Molecule: long non-coding RNA, 860 nt
Organism: Papaver somniferum (opium poppy)
Lineage: Eukaryota; Viridiplantae; Streptophyta; Magnoliopsida; Ranunculales; Papaveraceae
Exons: 3
Source: RefSeq, a predicted model, not a curated record
UCUCAUAAUCUCUUUCCCUUUCUCUUCUGUGUUUCCGGCGAUUAUUGCUCUCUAAAAUUUACUUUUUCUUUUGUGCUAAUCCUUGGAAGAGUUGUUGUAUUUGAAGAUAGAAAAUCAACCCAUACAAGUUAUUUGUAUAUGCAUGCUGGAAUGAGGGGAGUUAUAGUCGGAGGGAUUUGCUUCUUCCACUUUCCCUUCUUCUUUUAUUUCCUCUCUCUUCUUCAUCAGUUUGCAUCCUCUUUAAAAAAAAAAUGGUUAACAAUGGGGUUAGUAUGGCGGCAAGCUUGAAUUGGGAGUUAGUUGGAUUCCUUGGCCACUAAAGCAACGUUGUUUAGACCACUUUGUACGACAAAGUGAGUGAAAUUGGUCGCAUUCAUCGUGGUGGAUAUUUUAUUCUUGCAAUGGUUCGCUUGCUAGAUCAACCGUACGUACUUGAGAUAAGAUUCUGCAGUAGUGGUUGUAAUUUGUCUGUCAUGAGUUUAGUUGUCAGAAUCUUGGUCGAUCAUAUUGCAUAAAUGAAUCUCGUGGAAAUUAGUGAGAGUAUGGACUUGGUUGUUGGUUGGCUUGAGCGACGACUACGUUAAUGGGGAAAUGAAGUUGUAUUUAUGUUUUAAUAUUUUGUUGGCAUCUUUCUCUAUGGCUAGAUACCCUUAUAUAUUAGACAUUUGAACUUCACAGUCCCUUCAUCUUCAGAACUAAACUUUUGGAUUGAGUCAUGUUUAAUCUCUCACGUUUCGUUAAGUGAUUAGGUUCAUCGUUUACUACCACAAUGGACAGUUGCUUUCUAUUACUAGUUUUAAGUGCUUGUGGUCAUGACACUAUCUGUUUUCUUUACAUUAUUCUAACGAAUCUCGUUCCCA